GGUCCUGUGGCUCAGCCUGGUUAGAGCGUUACCCUGAUACGGUAAAGGUCCUGGGUUCAAAUCCCAGCAGGACCA
This 75-nucleotide transfer RNA is filed under the name Nanobdellota archaeon. RNAcentral describes it as "tRNA-Ile". It matches the Rfam family "tRNA". Rfam says of the family: Transfer RNA (tRNA) molecules are approximately 80 nucleotides in length. Lineage: Archaea; Nanobdellati; Nanobdellota. The record is from RNAcentral. RNAcentral also lists the same sequence under 1 other name.